CAAGUCGAGCGGGGAAGGGUAGCUUGCUACCUGACCUAGCGGCGGACGGGUGAGUAAUGCUUAGGAAUCUGCCUAUUAGUGGGGGACAACAUUCCGAAAGGAAUGCUAAUACCGCAUACGCCCUACGGGGGAAAGCAGGGGAUCUUCGGACCUUGCGCUAAUAGAUGAGCCUAAGUCAGAUUAGCUAGUUGGUGGGGUAAAGGCCUACCAAGGCGACGAUCUGUAGCGGGUCUGAGAGGAUGAUCCGCCACACUGGGACUGAGACACGGCCCAGACUCCUACGGGAGGCAGCAGUGGGGAAUAUUGGACAAUGGGCGAAAGCCUGAUCCAGCCAUGCCGCGUGUGUGAAGAAGGCCUUUUGGUUGUAAAGCACUUUAAGCGAGGAGGAGGCUACUUGGAUUAAUACUCUAGGAUAGUGGACGUUACUCGCAGAAUAAGCACCGGCUAACUCUGUGCCAGCAGCCGCGGUAAUACAGAGGGUGCGAGCGUUAAUCGGAUUUACUGGGCGUAAAGCGUGCGUAGGCGGCUUUUUAAGUCGGAUGUGAAAUCCCUGAGCUUAACUUAGGAAUUGCAUUCGAUACUGGGAAGCUAGAGUAUGGGAGAGGAUGGUAGAAUUCCAGGUGUAGCGGUGAAAUGCGUAGAGAUCUGGAGGAAUACCGAUGGCGAAGGCAGCCAUCUGGCCUAAUACUGACGCUGAGGUACGAAAGCAUGGGGAGCAAACAGGAUUAGAUACCCUGGUAGUCCAUGCCGUAAACGAUGUCUACUAGCCGUUGGGGCCUUUGAGGCUUUAGUGGCGCAGCUAACGCGAUAAGUAGACCGCCUGGGGAGUACGGUCGCAAGACUAAAACUCAAAUGAAUUGACGGGGGCCCGCACAAGCGGUGGAGCAUGUGGUUUAAUUCGAUGCAACGCGAAGAACCUUACCUGGUCUUGACAUAGUAAGAACUUUCCAGAGAUGGAUUGGUGCCUUCGGGAACUUACAUACAGGUGCUGCAUGGCUGUCGUCAGCUCGUGUCGUGAGAUGUUGGGUUAAGUCCCGCAACGAGCGCAACCCUUUUCCUUAUUUGCCAGCGGUUUAAGCCC
This 1081-nucleotide ribosomal RNA is filed under the name Acinetobacter sp. RNAcentral describes it as "bacterial SSU rRNA". It matches the Rfam family "Bacterial small subunit ribosomal RNA", at positions 58 to 1133 of the family's 1533-position model. Lineage: Bacteria; Pseudomonadati; Pseudomonadota; Gammaproteobacteria; Moraxellales; Moraxellaceae. The record is from RNAcentral.